Molecule: ribosomal RNA, 406 nt
Filed under: uncultured bacterium
Lineage: Bacteria
Description: partial 16S ribosomal RNA
Rfam family: Bacterial small subunit ribosomal RNA
Source: RNAcentral
AUUGAACGCUGGCGGCAGGCCUAACACAUGCAAGUCGAACGAGUGGCGGACGGGUGAGUAAUGUCUGGGAAACUUCCCGAUGGAGGGGGAUAACUACUGGAAACGGUAGCUAAUACCGCAUACCCUCGGAUGUGCCCAGAUGGGAUUAGCUAUUAGGUGGGGGACCGGCUCACCUGGGCGACGAUCCCUAGCUGGUCUUAGAGGAUGACCGGCAAAACUGGAACUGAGACACGGUCCAGACGCCUACGGUAGGCAGCAGGGGGGAAUAUUGCACAAUGGGCGCAAGCCUGAUGCAGCCAUGCCGAGUGUAUGAAGAAGGCCUUCGGGUUGUAAAGUACUUGCAGCGAGGAGGCGUUACUCGCAGAAGAAGCACCGGCUAACUCCGUGCCAGCCGCCGCGGUAAUUC